UAGACAUAGUUUAAACAAAACAUUAGAUUGUGAAUCUAAUAAUAGAAACUGAACCUUUCUUGUCUA
RNAcentral lists this transfer RNA (66 nucleotides) under Tupaia belangeri chinensis (Chinese tree shrew). Its description in RNAcentral is "Tupaia chinensis (Chinese tree shrew) tRNA". It matches the Rfam family "tRNA". Rfam says of the family: Transfer RNA (tRNA) molecules are approximately 80 nucleotides in length. Their secondary structure includes four short double-helical elements and three loops (D, anti-codon, and T loops). Lineage: Eukaryota; Metazoa; Chordata; Mammalia; Scandentia; Tupaiidae. The record is from Rfam by way of RNAcentral.